AAUGAACGUUGGCGGCAUGGAUUAGGCAUGCAAGUCGGGGGAAUCCCAGCAAUGGGGGAACCGGCGUAAGGGGCAGUAAGGCAUGGGUACCUACCUUGGGGUUCGGGAUAGCCAUCAGAGAUGGUGGGUAAUACCGGAUGACGUCGUGAGACCAAAGAUUCAUCGCCCUUAGAGGGGCCCAUGUGAUAUUAGCUAGUUGGUGGGGUAGCGGCCCACCAAGGCGAAGAUGUCUAGCGGGUGUGAGAGCACGACCCGCGCCACUCGCACUGAGACACUGGCGAGACACCUACGGGUGGCUGCAGUCGAGGAUCUUCGGCAAUGAGCGCAAGCUUGACCGAGCGAUGCCGCGUGAGCGAUGAAGGCCUUCGGGUUGUAAAGCUCUUUAGUGGGGGAGAAAAGCUGCAAGGUGUGAUCUAUCCCAAAAAUAAGCACGGGCUAAGUUCGUGCCAGCCGCCGCCGUAA
This 462-nucleotide ribosomal RNA is filed under the name uncultured bacterium. RNAcentral describes it as "partial 16S ribosomal RNA". It matches the Rfam family "Bacterial small subunit ribosomal RNA", at positions 29 to 523 of the family's 1533-position model. The record is from RNAcentral.